Molecule: long non-coding RNA, 365 nt
Organism: Asparagus officinalis (garden asparagus)
Lineage: Eukaryota; Viridiplantae; Streptophyta; Magnoliopsida; Asparagales; Asparagaceae
Exons: 3
Source: RefSeq, a predicted model, not a curated record
UCACGGAACCUCCGAUCGAUCAAGAAUCGACCACCAACAUCGCCGAGGUCGGUUUCAGACGAAAUUAGCGCUUCAGUCCUCAACUAUCGACCGUCGACACUUCCGAGCACCACGAUCGUCAACCCUCCACCCAUCAAAGAAUCGACCGUCGACAUUGCUGAGAUGGAAGAAUCGACCAUUUGAAAUUACUGAGAUGGAACAAAAAGGGACCGAUUCCGAAAAAUCCAAGCCCUCGACACCAGGACCACCCUCUCCACCAUGGCUCGAUCUCCCUGAUCUCGCCACAGAGCUUAUCCUACAGCGUCUCCCCCUCCCUGAUUACAUCCGCUUUGCUGACGUCUGUAUAAAAUGGCAAUCCAUCCAAA